RNAcentral lists this ribosomal RNA (412 nucleotides) under uncultured prokaryote. Its description in RNAcentral is "bacterial SSU rRNA". It matches the Rfam family "Bacterial small subunit ribosomal RNA", at positions 505 to 918 of the family's 1533-position model. The record is from RNAcentral.
GUGCCAGCAGCCGCGGUAAGACGUAGGGGGCAAGCGUUGCUCGGAAUCACUGGGCUUAAAGGGCGCGUAGGCGGUUGUGUAAGUCCAGGGUUGAAGGCCCCGGCUCAACCGGGGAAAGGCCUUGGAGACUGCAUGACUUGAGUGAGCGAGGGGAGGGCGGAAUUCCUGUGUAGCGGUGAAAUGCGUAGAUAUCAGGAGGAAGGCCUGUGGCGAAGGCGGCCCUCUGGCGCUCAACUGACUCUGAGGCGCGAAAGCGUGGGUAGCAAACAGGAUUAGAUACCCUGGUAGUCCACGCCCUAAACGGUGGGCACUAGGUGUGGGGCUCGAGAGGGUUCCGUGCCGAAGGGAAACCAAUAAGUGCCCCGCCUGGGGAGUACGGCCGCAAGGUUGAAACUUAAAUGAAUUGACGGGG